UACGAGGGGUCCAAGCGUUGCUCGGAAUCAUUGGGCGUAAAGCGGGUGUAGGUGGCUUUGUAAGUCAGGAGUGAAAGCCCUGGGCUUAACCCAGGAAGUGCUUUUGAUACUGCAAAGCUUGAGUGUGGGAGAGGAUCGUGGAAUUCCAGGUGUAGUGGUGAAAUACGUAGAUAUCUGGAGGAACACCGGUGGCGAAGGCGGCGAUCUGGCCCAACACUGACACUCAGACCCGAAAGUGCGGGGAUCAAACAGG
RNAcentral lists this ribosomal RNA (253 nucleotides) under uncultured bacterium. RNAcentral describes it as "partial 16S ribosomal RNA". It matches the Rfam family "Bacterial small subunit ribosomal RNA", at positions 524 to 776 of the family's 1533-position model. The record is from RNAcentral.